AUGGCGGAUCCCUACCGCUCGUACCUCCCGUCCUCCUCUCACGACAGAGUUCCACUGGGCGGUUAUCCUGGGUAUGUUCCACCUGAGGAAUCAUCCUAUUAUGCUUCAAAAAUGGCUGCUCUACGAGGAAUACCAAAUGUACCUAGAGUUGAUGUACCAUUACAGUCAAGAGCUUAUGGUUUGGAUAUUCCAGCAGGCGUGAGCCAUCCUGCUUAUGGUUUGGAUGUUCCCACAGGCAUGAGCCAUCCUGCUUAUGGUUUGGAUGUUCCAGCAGGCGUGAGCCAUCCUGCUUUGGUUGGCUUGGGUGCACUGCCGGCUGGAGCUAGGCCGCGAGGACCUAGCCCUUUGGAAGACCCAGCUUUAGUCCAGAGAAGUUCUUCACUUGGCAAAAGUGUCAGUAUUCCGGAAGUUGAGCGCCCCAAACCUGUUUUGAUCGUCGAUCGGCCAUCAGAAGAUGAAUCCAACAUUCUUUUUGUUGAUGGUCUCCCAACUGAUUGCACCAGGAGAGAAGUAGCUCAUUUGUUCCGUCCUUUCGUUGGCUUCAAGGACCUCAGACUUGUGCACAAGGAGCCCAGACGUAGUGGUGACAAGGCUUAUGCUCUGUGCUUUGUGGAGUUCAGUGACGCAAAAUGUGCAGGGACUGCUAUGGAGGCUCUCCAAGAAUACCGCUUCGACGAGAGGAAGGUCGACGGCCCGUUCCUUAAGAUCCAGUUCGCAAGGUUCCCGUUCCGACCUCCGCCAGCCCAUGAAGAUCGGAAACGCCUUAGCGCUCGCUGA
This 777-nucleotide ribosomal RNA is filed under the name Triticum aestivum (bread wheat). Its description in RNAcentral is "partial small subunit ribosomal RNA". Lineage: Eukaryota; Viridiplantae; Streptophyta; Magnoliopsida; Poales; Poaceae. The record is from RNAcentral.